GGGGUAAUGGCGGCAGCCUACACAUGCAGUCGAGCGGUAACAGGCCCUUCGGGGUGCUGACGAGCGGCGGACGGGUGAGUAAUGCAUAGGAAUCUGCCCGGUAGUGGGGGAUAACCUGGGGAAACUCAGGCUAAUACCGCAUACGUCCUACGGGAGAAAGCAGGGGACCUUCGGGCCUUGCGCUAUCGGAUGAGCCUAUGUCGGAUUAGCUGGUUGGUGAGGUAACGGCUCACCAAGGCGACGAUCCGUAGCUGGUCUGAGAGGAUGAUCAGCCACAUCGGGACUGAGACACGGCCCGAACUCCUACGGGAGGCAGCAGUGGGGAAUAUUGGACAAUGGGCGCAAGCCUGAUCCAGCCAUGCCGCGUGUGUGAAGAAGGCCCUCGGGUUGUAAAGCACUUUCAGUGGGGAAGAAAUCCUCGUGGCCAAUACCCGCGAGGGAGGACAUCACCCACAGAAGAAGCACCGGCUAACUCCGUGCCAGCAGCCGCGGUAAUACGGAGGGUGCGAGCGUUAAUCGGAAUUACUGGGCGUAAAGCGCGCGUAGGCGGCGUGAUAAGCCGGUUGUGAAAGCCCCGGGCUCAACCUGGGAACGGCAUCCGGAACUGUCAGGCUAGAGUGCAGGAGAGGAAGGUAGAAUUCCCGGUGUAGCGGUGAAAUGCGUAGAGAUCGGGAGGAAUACCAGUGGCGAAGGCGGCCUUCUGGACUGACACUGACGCUGAGGUGCGAAAGCGUGGGUAGCAAACAGGAUUAGAUACCCUGGUAGUCCACGCCGUAAACGAUGUCGACUAGCCGUUGGGGUCCUUGAGACCUUUGUGGCGCAGUUAACGCGAUAAGUCGACCGCCUGGGGAGUACGGCCGCAAGGUUAAAACUCAAAUGAAUUGACGGGGGCUCGCACAAGCGGUGGAGCAUGUGGUUUAAUUCGAUGCAACGCGAAGAACCUUACCUACCCUUGACAUCCUCGGAAGCCGACAGAGAUUGUUGGUGUGCCUUCGGAGCGAGUGACAGGUGCUGCAUGGCCGUCGUCAGCUCGUGUUGUGAAAUGUGGGUUAAGUCCGUAACGAGCGCAACCUUGUCCCUAAUUUGCCAGCGAAUCGGUCGGGAACUCUAAGGGAGACUGCCGGUGACAACCGGAAGGAAGGUUGGGACAACUUCAGGUCAUCAUGGUCCUUCACGGGUAAGGCUCACCACGUGCUACAAUUGCCUGGAUAAAAGUGCAAGCGAGGUGGAAACCAAUCCGAAGGCGUCUUACUUCGGGAACUGACAAUCCCUGU
This 1274-nucleotide ribosomal RNA is filed under the name Halomonas sp. HL57. RNAcentral describes it as "bacterial SSU rRNA". It matches the Rfam family "Bacterial small subunit ribosomal RNA", at positions 26 to 1304 of the family's 1533-position model. The record is from RNAcentral. Lineage: Bacteria; Pseudomonadati; Pseudomonadota; Gammaproteobacteria; Oceanospirillales; Halomonadaceae.